GGGCCGGUAGACUAUACAUGCAAGUCGAACGCUUCUUUCCUCCCGAGUGCUUGACACUCAAUUGGAAAGAGGAGUGGCGGACGGGUGAGUAACACGUGGGUAACCUACCCAUCAGAGGGGGAUAACACUUGGAAACAGGUGCUAAUACCGCAUAACAGUUUAUGCCGCAUGGCAUAAGAGUGAAAGGCGCUUUCGGGUGUCGCUGAUGGAUGGACCCGCGGUGCAUUAGCUAGUUGGUGAGGUAACGGCUCACCAAGGCCACGAUGCAUAGCCGACCUGAGAGGGUGAUCGGCCACACUGGGACUGAGACACGGCCCAGACUCCUACGGGAGGCAGCAGUAGGGAAUCUUCGGCAAUGGACGAAAGUCUGACCGAGCAACGCCGCGUGAGUGAAGAAGGUUUUCGGAUCGUAAAACUCUGUUGUUAGAGAAGAACAAGGACGUUAGUAACUGAACGUCCCCUGACGGUAUCUAACCAGAAAGCCACGGCUAACUACGUGCCAGCAGCCGCGGUAAUACGUAGGUGGCAAGCGUUGUCCGGAUUUAUUGGGCGUAAAGCGAGCGCAGGCGGUUUCUUAAGUCUGAUGUGAAAGCCCCCGGCUCAACCGGGGAGGGUCAUUGGAAACUGGGAGACUUGAGUGCAGAAGAGGAGAGUGGAAUUCCAUGUGUAGCGGUGAAAUGCGUAGAUAUAUGGAGGAACACCAGUGGCGAAGGCGGCUCUCUGGUCUGUAACUGACGCUGAGGCUCGAAAGCGUGGGGAGCAAACAGGAUUAGAUACCCUGGUAGUCCACGCCGUAAACGAUGAGUGCUAAGUGUUGGAGGGUUUCCGCCCUUCAGUGCUGCAGCAAACGCAUUAAGCACUCCGCCCUGGGGGAGUACGACCGCAAAGGAUGAAACCUCAAAAUAUUUGACGGGGGCCGCCACCAAGCCGGGUGGGGGAGCCAAUG
RNAcentral lists this ribosomal RNA (946 nucleotides) under Enterococcus faecalis. RNAcentral's name for it is "bacterial SSU rRNA". It matches the Rfam family "Bacterial small subunit ribosomal RNA", at positions 40 to 951 of the family's 1533-position model. Lineage: Bacteria; Bacillati; Bacillota; Bacilli; Lactobacillales; Enterococcaceae. The record is from RNAcentral.